CUAGCAUAUCAUAAGCGGAGGAAAAGAAACUAACAAGGAUUCCCUCAGUAACGGCGAGUGAAGCGGGAAGAGCUCAAAUUUAAAAUCUGGUUUACUUGUAAGCCCGAGUUGUAGUCUGAAGAAACGUUUUCCAUAAGCACUGAGGCAAAAGUCCCUUGGAACAGGGCAUCAUAGAGGGUGAGAAUCCCGUCCAUGGUCUCAAGUUGUUUAUUUUGUGAUACGUUUUCAAAGAGUCAGGUUGUUUGGGAAUGCAGCCUAAAAUGGGUGGUAAAUUUCAUCUAAAGCUAAAUAUUGGCGAGAGACCGAUAGCGAACAAGUACCGUGAGGGAAAGAUGAAAAGAACUUUGAAAAGAGAGUUAAACAGUACGUGAAAUUGUUGAAAGGGAACCGUUUGAAGCCAGUCUUACUUGCCUGUGAUCAAUUUUUGCUUCGGCAUGAAUGCACUCUCGGGUAUGGUAGGCCAACGACAGUUUGGAAUGCGAGAAAAAAAUAGGGGAAAUGUGGCCUUCGGGUGUUAUAGUCCCUUAUAAAAUAUCGUGUCCUGGACUGAGGAUCGCAGUGAAAAUGUGGGCAGGUGGAUUUCUGUGGUAACUGUCGGUUAGGACAACUUGUUGACCUAGCUUUCCUUAGCCUCACUAUUUACCUUGCUUCUAAUUUGCUUAGGUCGUUGGCAUAAUGGCUUUAAAUGACCCGUCUUGAAACACGGACCAAGGAGUCUAACAUAUAUGCGAGUAUUUGGGUGGCAAACCCAUAUGCGCAAUGAAAGUGAAACUAGGUGCCAAACCUUCACGGGUGGCAGCAUCGGCCGGCUUCGACGUUUUAACUGAAGAGUCUGAGCAGAAGCAUACAUGUUGGGACCCGAAAGAUGGUGAACUAUGCCUGAAUAGGGUGAAGCCAGAGGAAACUCUGGUGGAGGCUCGUAGCGAUUCUGACGUGCAAAUCGAUCGUCAAAUUUGGGUAUAGGGGCGAAAGACUAAUCGAACCAUCUAGUAGCUGUCUGCG
This 1002-nucleotide ribosomal RNA is filed under the name Umbelopsis ramanniana. RNAcentral's name for it is "LSU rRNA". It matches the Rfam family "Eukaryotic large subunit ribosomal RNA", at positions 34 to 959 of the family's 3401-position model. The record is from RNAcentral. Lineage: Eukaryota; Fungi; Mucoromycota; Umbelopsidomycetes; Umbelopsidales; Umbelopsidaceae.